This 135-nucleotide microRNA precursor is filed under the name Hordeum vulgare. RNAcentral's name for it is "microRNA MIR1122". It matches the Rfam family "MIR1120/MIR1122 microRNA precursor family". The record is from RNAcentral. Lineage: Eukaryota; Viridiplantae; Streptophyta; Magnoliopsida; Poales; Poaceae.
CAUAUACUCCCUCCGUCCUAAAUUACUUGUCUUAGAUUUUUCUAGAUAUGGAUGUAUCUAAAAAUGUUUUAGUGUUAGAUACAUCCGUAUCUAGAUAAAUCUAAGACAAGUAAUUUGGGACGGAGGGAGUACUAG